This 359-nucleotide long non-coding RNA is filed under the name Homo sapiens (human). RNAcentral describes it as "PREDICTED lncRNA (TCONS_00089989)". Lineage: Eukaryota; Metazoa; Chordata; Mammalia; Primates; Hominidae. The record is from RNAcentral.
AUCAAUUUGGGCCUGAGGAAAAUUCAGGUGGAAGACAAUUAAAUAACUAACCACCUCCGCAAGGUGCAGAACUCAAACCCAAGUCUCCCUCCCACGCCCUGGGCUCCAGGGAAGCCCUUGGGUGUUGUUGUUGAAACAGGACGAGGCGUGACCCCGGGUCUGCGUUGUUUGGCGUGGGUUCUCACUAUGUUGCUUAAGCUGGUCCAGAACUCAAGCCAGUCUCUCACUUCAGCCUCUUGAGUCGUUGGGAUUACAGAAGCCACCAUGUCCAACUGCUGAUCUUGAACUCCUGGGCUCAAGCGAUCCUCCCACCUCGGCCUCCCAAUGUGUUGGGAUUACAGGCGUGAGUUGCGGCGCCC